UUGAAUCUUUCUUGAAUUUGCUCCUCCAACUUGAAUUCUUUGUACUUGUAACUUGGGCCAAUGAAGUGUGCCUUUCUUCCAACUUUUCUUGAGAACUUUUGAGGCCUUCUUGCAUUCUUCCAACUUGCUAUGUUCCUUGCAAAACAAUUUAUCUUUCUUCUUGCAACACAACCAUUAGUAAUUAUACUUCAAGAUUUUGUGAUCAUCAAAAUCAAUCUUUGGAUCGGCAAUCUCCCCCUUAUUGAUGAUGACAAAACUUGGAGUAUAUGCAAUAUAAAAUAGAAUGUGUUCUAGAACUAAUGCAUAGCCAAGUUGCAUGAAGUAGAAAAUAUAUAUCUGUAAAAUAUACUUCAUGAUAAUGCUUUAGAUUUAAUCAACUU
RNAcentral lists this long non-coding RNA (380 nucleotides) under Phoenix dactylifera (date palm). Its description in RNAcentral is "long non-coding RNA (PDAC_LNC008958)". Lineage: Eukaryota; Viridiplantae; Streptophyta; Magnoliopsida; Arecales; Arecaceae. The record is from RNAcentral.